Molecule: ribosomal RNA, 539 nt
Filed under: uncultured bacterium
Lineage: Bacteria
Description: bacterial SSU rRNA
Rfam family: Bacterial small subunit ribosomal RNA
Source: RNAcentral
GAGGAAUAUUGGUCAAUGGACGAGAGUCUGAACCAGCCAAGUAGCGUGCAGGAUGACGGCCCUAUGGGUUGUAAACUGCUUUUGUAUGGGGAUAAAGUCAAUCACGUGUGAUUGUUUGCAGGUACCAUACGAAUAAGGACCGGCUAAUUCCGUGCCAGCAGCCGCGGUAAUACGGAAGGUCCGGGCGUUAUCCGGAUUUAUUGGGUUUAAAGGGAGCGUAGGCCGGAGAUUAAGUGUGUUGUGAAAUGUAGACGCUCAACGUCUGACUUGCAGCGCAUACUGGUUUUCUUGAGUACGCACAACGUUGGCGGAAUUCGUCGUGUAGCGGCGAAAUGCUUAGAUAUGACGAAGAACUCCGAUUGCGAAGGCAGCUGACGGGAGCGCAACUGACGCUUAAGCUCGAAGGUGCGGGUAUCGAACAGGAUUAGAUACCCUGGUAGUCCGCACAGUAAACGAUGGAUGCCCGCUGUUGGUACCUGGUAUCAGCGGCUAAGCGAAAGCAUUAAGCAUCCCACCUGGGGAGUACGCCGGCAACGGUG